This 248-nucleotide ribosomal RNA is filed under the name uncultured bacterium. RNAcentral describes it as "partial 16S ribosomal RNA". It matches the Rfam family "Bacterial small subunit ribosomal RNA", at positions 28 to 262 of the family's 1533-position model. The record is from RNAcentral.
GACGAACGCUGGCGGCGUGCUUAACACAUGCAAGUCGAGCGGUAAGGCCUGCUUCGGUGGGUACACGAGCGGCGAACGGGUGAGUAACACGUGGGUGACCUGCCCUUAGCUCUGGGAUAAGCCUGGGAAACUGGGUCUAAUACCGGAUAUGACCAUAUGUCGCAUGGUGUGUGGUGGAAAGCCUGGUUGUUGUGACUGGGUGGCUGGGGAGUGGGCCCGCGGCCUAUCAGCUUGUUGGUGGGGUGAGU